Molecule: ribosomal RNA, 713 nt
Filed under: uncultured fungus
Lineage: Eukaryota; Fungi
Description: eukaryotic LSU rRNA
Rfam family: 5.8S ribosomal RNA (bases 201-353)
Source: RNAcentral
UGCGGAAGGAUCAUUAUUGUAUAACACGAGACAUUGAGGCUGUCGCUGACGAAAGUCGUGCACGCCUUGGUGUUCUUACAUCCAUUUCACCCUUGUGCAUCAUCGCGUGGGCCGUUCCCAUUGGGAAUGGUCUACGUUUUUAAUACAAACCCCUAUUGAUGUGUAGAAUGUGUACUUUGCGAUAACCACGCAACUAAUACAACUUUCAACACGGAUCUCUUGGNUCUCGCAUCCAUGAAGAACGCAGCGAAAUGCGAUACGUAAUGUGAAUUGCAGAAUUCAGUGAAUCAUCGAAUCUUUGAACGCNCCUUGCGCCUCUUGGUAUUCCGAGGGGCACGCCCGUUUGAGUGUCGUGAAAUUCUCAACUCCUCUUGGUUUUCUUUUGAAGGCUAAGAGGGCUUGGACUUGGAGGUUCUUGCUGGCAGCACUUUGCGAUCAGCUCCUCUUAAAUGCAUUAGCGAGGUUCUCUUUUGCUGACCUUUGGCGUGAUAAGUAUCUACGUCUUUGGUGUGGCUCUGCUGUUAGAACCUGCUUCUAAUCGUCUCUUUGCUGAGACAACUUGAGUUCUCUUUAUUGAGGCUCUAACUCACACCCUUGACCUCAAAUCGGGCGGGACUANCUCGCUGAACUUAAGCAUAUCAUAAGCGGAGGAAAGAAACUAACAGGAUUCUCCUAGUAACUGCGAGUGAAGCGGAAAGCUCAAAUUUAAAAUC